AUUGAACGCUGGCGGCAGGCCUAACACAUGCAAGUCGAGCGGUAACACAGAGAGCUUGCUCUCGGGUGACGAGCGGCGGACGGGUGAGUAAUGUCUGGGAAACUGCCUGAUGGAGGGGGAUAACUACUGGAAACGGUAGCUAAUACCGCAUAACGUCGCAAGACCAAAGUGGGGGACCUUCGGGCCUCAUGCCAUCAGAUGUGCCCAGAUGGGAUUAGCUAGUAGGUGGGGUAAUGGCUCACCUAGGCGACGAUCCCUAGCUGGUCUGAGAGGAUGACCAGCCACACUGGAACUGAGACACGGUCCAGACUCCUACGGGAGGCAGCAGUGGGGAAUAUUGCACAAUGGGCGCAAGCCUGAUGCAGCCAUGCCGCGUGUAUGAAGAAGGCCUUCGGGUUGUAAAGUACUUUCAGCGAGGAGGAAGGCGUUAAGGUUAAUAACCUUGGCGAUUGACGUUACUCGCAGAAGAAGCACCGGCUAACUCCGUGCCAGCAGCCGCGGUAAUACGGAGGGUGCAAGCGUUAAUCGGAAUUACUGGGCGUAAAGCGCACGCAGGCGGUCUGUCAAGUCGGAUGUGAAAUCCCCGGGCUCAACCUGGGAACUGCAUUCGAAACUGGCAGGCUAGAGUCUUGUAGAGGGGGGUAGAAUUCCAGGUGUAGCGGUGAAAUGCGUAGAGAUCUGGAGGAAUACCGGUGGCGAAGGCGGCCCCCUGGACAAAGACUGACGCUCAGGUGCGAAAGCGUGGGGAGCAAACAGGAUUAGAUACCCUGGUAGUCCACGCCGUAAACGAUGUCGACUUGGAGGUUGUGCCCUUGAGGCGUGGCUUCCGGAGCUAACGCGUUAAGUCGACCGCCUGGGGAGUACGGCCGCAAGGUUAAAACUCAAAUGAAUUGACGGGGGCCCGCACAAGCGGUGGAGCAUGUGGUUUAAUUCGAUGCAACGCGAAGAACCUUACCUGGUCUUGACAUCCACAGAACUUUCCAGAGAUGGAUUGGUGCCUUCGGGAACUGUGAGACAGGUGCUGCAUGGCUGUCGUCAGCUCGUGUUGUGAAAUGUUGGGUUAAGUCCCGCAACGAGCGCAACCCUUAUCCUUUGUUGCCAGCGGUCCGGCCGGGAACUCAAAGGAGACUGCCAGUGAUAAACUGGAGGAAGGUGGGGAUGACGUCAAGUCAUCAUGGCCCUUACGACCAGGGCUACACACGUGCUACAAUGGCAUAUACAAAGAGAAGCGACCUCGCGAGAGCAAGCGGACCUCAUAAAGUAUGUCGUAGUCCGGAUUGGAGUCUGCAACUCGACUCCAUGAAGUCGGAAUCGCUAGUAAUCGUAGAUCAGAAUGCUACGGUGAAUACGUUCCCGGGCCUUGUACACACCGCCCGUCACACCAUGGGAGUGGGUUGCAAAAGAAGUAGGUAGCUUAACCUUCGGGAGGGCGCUUACCACUUUGUGAUUCAUGACUGGGGUG
Molecule: ribosomal RNA, 1462 nt
Filed under: uncultured bacterium
Lineage: Bacteria
Description: bacterial SSU rRNA
Rfam family: Bacterial small subunit ribosomal RNA
Source: RNAcentral